AUAACACAAACACAGUAUUAUCCGCCAGAGAACUAUAAGCGAAAAGCCAAAAACUCCAAGGACUUGGCGGUGCUUCAAACCAACCUAGAGGAGCCUGUCCUAUAAUCGAUACCCCACGUUCUACCCGACCUCUCUUUGACACAUCAGCCUAUAUACCGCCGUCAUCAGCCUACCUUGUGAAAGAAAAGAAGUAAGCAAGACAGUUAAUAACUAAAACGACAGGUCAAGGUGUAGCAUAUGGAGAGGAAGUGAUGGGCUACAUUCUUCAAAAGCAUACGAAUAACAUGUUGAAACACAUGCUUGAAGGUGGAUUUAGUAGUAAGAUAAACAAGAUAAGAUGUCUUAAAACCUGCUCUGAAGCGCGCACACACCGCCCGUCACCC
This 383-nucleotide ribosomal RNA is filed under the name Sphenomorphus cryptotis. RNAcentral's name for it is "partial small subunit ribosomal RNA". It matches the Rfam family "Bacterial small subunit ribosomal RNA", at positions 875 to 1402 of the family's 1533-position model. Lineage: Eukaryota; Metazoa; Chordata; Lepidosauria; Squamata; Scincidae. The record is from RNAcentral.